AUUAGGAAUCUUGCACAAUGGGCGAAAGCCUGAUGCAGCGACGCCGCGUGGGGGACGAAGGGUCUCGGCCUGUAAACCCCUUUUGACAGGGAAGAAGGAUGUGACGGUACCUGUCGAAUCAGCCCCGGCUAACUACGUGCCAGCAGCCGCGGUAAUACGUAGGGGGCGAGCGUUGUCCGAAUUUACUGGGCGUAAAGCGCGCGUAGGCGGUCCCUUAAGUCUGGGGUGAAAGGUUCAGCGCUCAACGCGAACAGUGCCUUGGAGACUGGGGGACUUGAGUCCGGCAGGGGGUGGCGGAAUUCCUGGUGUAGCGGUGAAAUGCGUAGAUAUCAGGAGGAACACCGGUGGCGAAGGCGGCCACCUGGGCUAGGACUGACGCUGAGGCGCGAAAGCGUGGGGAGCGAACGG
This 408-nucleotide ribosomal RNA is filed under the name uncultured bacterium. RNAcentral's name for it is "bacterial SSU rRNA". It matches the Rfam family "Bacterial small subunit ribosomal RNA", at positions 354 to 775 of the family's 1533-position model. The record is from RNAcentral.